CAGGUAAGCAGCUGUUCAGUGUACUGGCGCUACUCUGUUACCAGGGACACACUCAGCUAUACAAUAUACUGCAACACUAAGGACUUUAACGCCUUUGCCUAUUAUCCUUUCCAUACCCAUGGACUAAGGUCAGUUAGGUAGGCGGUUAUUUAGACAGAUUUACCCAUCUGUUUUUCUAUGUCCGAUUAAUACACUGUAUGCACUAGCUGGGUGUGUGAACAUAUACCUGGAUCAGAUUCAUUGUUCGUUGCUUACCAGCAAUCAACUGCCAUACCACCGCAUGCAAUUUAGUUCUGCUUUUUCUUUAUGAUUAUACUCUCCUAUCUGGUUGAAACAAUUUCCUUGUGAAUUACAAUCAGUGAUAGGCCAAUAAAAGACCGUUCGUUGAUUACCACCAACGCGGGAUACCCCUUAAUGAAAUAUCUAUGCUCCUGAGGAAGCGCUAAUUCCAUAAGCGUGCAACAUGUCGAGCAAAUCCUCCUAGUCCUCUGGACAACCAUCUGGUCACUUGUGAUAUAACGUUUUUUAUAUUUAUGCUUUUUAUUUUAAGCUUUUUAUGUUAGAACUAUACAAUGUAUGUGAACCGUGUGUGGUA
Rana temporaria (common frog) is the source of this 595-nucleotide long non-coding RNA. RefSeq lists it as uncharacterized. Lineage: Eukaryota; Metazoa; Chordata; Amphibia; Anura; Ranidae. The record is from RefSeq and is a predicted model, not a curated record. The transcript has 4 exons.